GACAGAGGGUGCAAACGUUGCUCGGAAUCACUGGGCGUAAAGGGCGUGUAGGCGGGUAGAUAAGUCGGGCGUGAAAUCCCUAGGCUCAACCUAGGAACUGCACUCGAAACUGUUUAUCUUGAGUGCCGGAGAGGAAAGCGGAAUUCCUGGUGUAGAGGUGAAAUUCGUAGAUAUCAGGAGGAACACCAGUGGCGAAGGCGGCUUUCUGGA
RNAcentral lists this ribosomal RNA (210 nucleotides) under uncultured bacterium. Its description in RNAcentral is "partial 16S ribosomal RNA". It matches the Rfam family "Bacterial small subunit ribosomal RNA", at positions 524 to 733 of the family's 1533-position model. The record is from RNAcentral.